This 25-nucleotide transfer RNA is filed under the name Zeugodacus cucurbitae (melon fly). Its description in RNAcentral is "partial tRNA-Thr". Lineage: Eukaryota; Metazoa; Arthropoda; Insecta; Diptera; Tephritidae. The record is from RNAcentral.
AAAACUUCAAGAGAAAAGAAAUUAC